This is a long non-coding RNA of Solanum dulcamara, 343 nucleotides long. RefSeq lists it as uncharacterized. NCBI's taxonomy places the organism in Eukaryota, Viridiplantae, Streptophyta, Magnoliopsida, Solanales, Solanaceae. The record is from RefSeq and is a predicted model, not a curated record. The transcript is spliced from 4 exons.
UAUAAAUAUUAAUUCAUCAAAACACAUGUUUUUUCCAGAAUUCAAAAUCCUUAAACUCAAAAUCUUACUCCCAUUGAUCCUCCGUAAUUAUGCUAAGCAGAGUCGUCAACAGAUGGGCAGAUCUACUGGAGGAGCUUCCAAUGAUUCUAAUUCACUAGCUCCGUUUUCCACGAGGAACGCCAUGGCCAAACCCCAGAGGUCACCUGGUUGACCAUUGAUGGUGUACGCAUCAGAUAUAUUAGGAGCUGCUCCUGUGCUUGUUGCUCGUCUUACAACAUCAAUUGGGUCCAGGGAAUUGCCCAUUCACCGUUAUGAUGUUGUGGAUUUUGCACAGCCUCUUCAC